UUGGCUUCAUCAUUUGUGCGGCAUUGUUAGUGACCGACGGAAGGCAGUGGUCACUUUUUGUAGGGAGGUGAAGCGUCGGCACAGCUUUCUGCCUCAGCAUUGAUUUGAAGGCUAUCGACUCAACCCG
Molecule: long non-coding RNA, 127 nt
Organism: Rhipicephalus microplus (southern cattle tick)
Lineage: Eukaryota; Metazoa; Arthropoda; Arachnida; Ixodida; Ixodidae
Source: RefSeq, a predicted model, not a curated record